Molecule: transfer RNA, 75 nt
Filed under: Alphaproteobacteria bacterium MarineAlpha6_Bin3
Lineage: Bacteria; Pseudomonadati; Pseudomonadota; Alphaproteobacteria
Also listed under: 1 other name
Description: tRNA-Arg
Rfam family: tRNA
About the family: Transfer RNA (tRNA) molecules are approximately 80 nucleotides in length.
Source: RNAcentral
GGGCUUGUAGUGAAAUGGAUAUCACGCGAAACUACGGAUUUCGUAUUGGGGGUUCAAAUCCUCCCAGGCCCACCA